AAUCAACGCUGGCGGCGUGCCUAACACAUGCAAGUCGCACGAGAAAGGGCAGCAAUGCCUGAGUACAGUGGCGCACGGGUGAGUAACACGUGAAUGAUCUACCUCCGAGUGGGGAAUAACUGAGAGAAAUCUUAGCUAAUACCGCAUAACACUUACGAGUCAAAGCAGCAAUGCGCUUGGAGAGGAGUUCGCGGCAGAUUAGAGUUGGCGGGGUAAUGGCCCACCAAGACGAUGAUCUGUAUCCGGCCUGAGAGGGCGCACGGACACACUGGAAUUGAAACACGGUCCAGACUCCUACGGGAGGCAGCAGUGGGAAUUUUGCGCAAUGGGGGAAACCCUGACGCAGCAACGCCGCGUGGAGGAUGAAAUCCCUUGGGAUGUAAACUCCUUUCGAUCGGGAAGAUAAUGACGGUACCGAGAGAAGAAGCCCCGGCUAACUUCGUGCCAGCAGCCGCCG
This 457-nucleotide ribosomal RNA is filed under the name uncultured bacterium. RNAcentral's name for it is "bacterial SSU rRNA". It matches the Rfam family "Bacterial small subunit ribosomal RNA", at positions 32 to 520 of the family's 1533-position model. The record is from RNAcentral.